UACGUAGGGUCCGAGCGUUAUCCGGUAUUAUUGGGCGUAAAGAGUGCGUAGGCGGUUUGGUAAGACACUGGUUAAAGCUCCGGGCCUAACCCGGAAAUCGCCCGUGUGACUAUCAGACUAGUCGGUAGCAGGGGCAAGCGGAAUUGUCGGUGUAGGAGUGAAAUCCGUUGAUAUCGGGAGGAACACCAAUGGCGAAGGCAAUUUGCUAGGCUGAUUCAGACACUGAGAUGUGAAAGCGUGGGGAGCGAAUGGG
This 253-nucleotide ribosomal RNA is filed under the name uncultured bacterium. Its description in RNAcentral is "partial 16S ribosomal RNA". It matches the Rfam family "Bacterial small subunit ribosomal RNA", at positions 524 to 776 of the family's 1533-position model. The record is from RNAcentral.